This 459-nucleotide ribosomal RNA is filed under the name uncultured organism. Its description in RNAcentral is "bacterial SSU rRNA". It matches the Rfam family "Bacterial small subunit ribosomal RNA", at positions 28 to 507 of the family's 1533-position model. The record is from RNAcentral.
GACGAACGCUGGCGGCGUGCUUAACACAUGCAAGUCGAGCGGAAAGGCCUCUUCGGGGGUACUCGAGCGGCGAACGGGUGAGUAUCACGUGAGUAAUCUGCCCUUCACUUCGGGAUAGCCUUGGGAAACUGAGAUUAAUACCGGAUAGGACUCCUGCCUGCAUGGGUGGGGGUGGAAACUUUUUUGGGUGGGGGAUGUGCUCGCGGCCUAUCAGCUUGAUGGUGGGGUAAUGGCCUACCAUGGCUUUGACGGGUAGCCGGCCUGAGAGGGUGUUCGGCCACACUGGGACUGAGACACGGCCCAGACUCCUACGGGAGGCAGCAGUGGGGAAUAUUGGACAAUGGGCGGAAGCCUGAUCCAGCAACGCCGCGUGAGGGAUGACGGCCUUCGGGUUGUAAACCUCUUUCAGUAGGGACGAAUGUGACGGUACCUACAGAAGAAGCACCGGCCAACUACGUG